GGAAAUUUGAGAGGAUCUGCUCCUAGUACGAGAGGACCAGAGUGGACGAACCUCUGGUGUACCGGUUGUGACGCCAGUCGCAUCGCCGGGUAGCUAUGUUCGGAAGGGAUAACCGCUGAAAGCAUCUAAGCGGGAAGCCUACCUCAAGAUAAGAUUUCCCUAGGAAUUUAUUCCUCUAAAGAGCCGUUCAAGACUAGGACGUUGAUAGGUUGGAUGUGGAAGCAUAGUGAUAUGUGAAGCUGACCAAUACUAAUUGCUCGUGAGGCUUGACUAUACAACACCCAAACAGUUG
This 292-nucleotide ribosomal RNA is filed under the name Acinetobacter soli. RNAcentral describes it as "partial 23S ribosomal RNA". It matches the Rfam family "Bacterial large subunit ribosomal RNA", at positions 2656 to 2925 of the family's 2925-position model. The record is from RNAcentral. Lineage: Bacteria; Pseudomonadati; Pseudomonadota; Gammaproteobacteria; Moraxellales; Moraxellaceae.